Non-coding RNA from Pelobates cultripes (western spadefoot toad), 270 nucleotides. Lineage: Eukaryota; Metazoa; Chordata; Amphibia; Anura; Pelobatidae. The record is from the annotation of a GenBank genome assembly.
GUUCUAUGCACGGAAGUGACAUUAGCCACGCUGGAGCUCUCAUUACUCCAUUGUUACAGAAAAGUGUAAAUAGAUGUAAUUUUAAAAUAAAGAACAGGUAAAAAGUUCAAUAAAUAUAUAUUUUCCAAGGUAAACUCAGAAACGUCUCUGCAAAUGGAACCCAUAAAUAGAGAAUGUACAUAUAUGUGCCAUGUGCUCAUUCUACCACUACUCCAGGGCAUUAGCAAUAACUCUAGUACACAUCAGCCCCAAUACAUACAAUAAAGUUAC